This 521-nucleotide ribosomal RNA is filed under the name uncultured Sterigmatomyces. RNAcentral describes it as "partial large subunit ribosomal RNA". It matches the Rfam family "Eukaryotic large subunit ribosomal RNA", at positions 145 to 652 of the family's 3401-position model. The record is from RNAcentral. Lineage: Eukaryota; Fungi; Basidiomycota; Agaricostilbomycetes.
GUAGUCUAUAGAAGCAUGAUCCGCGCCGGCCCUUGGGCAUGUCUGUUGGAACGCAGUGUCAAAGAGGGUGAAAAUCCCGUACAUACCAAGGACGACCGUGUGCAUUGUGGUCUGCUCUCUAAGAGUCGAGUUGUUUGGAAUGCAGCUCUAAUUGGGUGGUAAAUUCCAUCUAAAGCUAAAUAUCGACGAGAGACCGAUAGCGAACAAGUACAGUAAUGGAAAGAUGAAAAGUAGCCUGCAGAGGCAAUGAAACAAUACGUGAAACCGUUUGUAGGGAAGCGAUGGAACCUUUUCACGCUGCGAGGGUUCAGCUUGGCUUCGGCUUAGUGUAUUCCCUCGUUUUGCGGACCAGCAUCAGUUUGCUUCGCAGUAUAAGGGUGAUUGGAACGUGGCUUCUCCGGAAGUGUUAUAGCCUUUCACUGGAUGCUGUGUCGCAGACUGAGGACUGCAGUGCGCCGUAAGGCAUGGUCUUCGGGCCACGAGCACUUAGGAUGCUGGGCGAAUGGGUUUCAACGACCCGU